RNAcentral lists this ribosomal RNA (434 nucleotides) under uncultured ammonia-oxidizing beta proteobacterium. Its description in RNAcentral is "bacterial SSU rRNA". It matches the Rfam family "Bacterial small subunit ribosomal RNA", at positions 168 to 597 of the family's 1533-position model. Lineage: Bacteria; Pseudomonadati; Pseudomonadota; Betaproteobacteria. The record is from RNAcentral.
ACCGCAUAAUCUCUGUGGAGGAAAGCAGGGGAUCGUAAGACCUUGCGCUUUUGGAGUGGCCGAUGCCUGAUUAGCUAGUUGGUGGGGUAAGAGCCUACCAAGGCGACGAUCAGUAGUUGGUCUGAGAGGACGACCAGCCACACUGGGACUGAGACACGGCCCAGACUCCUACGGGAGGCAGCAGUGGGGAAUUUUGGACAAUGGGCGAAAGCCUGGUCCAGCAAUGCCGCGUGAGUGAAGAAGGCCUUCGGGUUGUAAAGCUCUUUCAGUCGAGAAGAAAAGGUUGCGAUUAAUAAUCGCAACUUAUGACGGUAUCGACAGAAGAAGCACCGGCUAACUACGUGCCAGCAGCCGCGGUAAUACGUAGGGUGCGAGCGUUAAUCGGAAUUACUGGGCGUAAGGGGUGCGCAGGCGGCUCUGUAAGUCAGAUGUGA